AAAUUGAAGAGUUUGAUCAUGGCUCAGAUUGAACGCUGGCGGCAGGCCUAACACAUGCAAGUCGAACGGUAACAGGAAGAAGCUUGCUUCUUUGCUGACGAGUGGCGGACGGGUGAGUAAUGUCUGGGAAACUGCCUGAUGGAGGGGGAUAACUACUGGAAACGGUAGCUAAUACCGCAUAACGUCGCAAGACCAAAGAGGGGGACCUUCGGGCCUCUUGUCAUCGGAUGUGCCCAGAUGGGAUUAGCUAGUAGGUGGGGUAACGGCUCACC
RNAcentral lists this ribosomal RNA (272 nucleotides) under Escherichia coli. RNAcentral describes it as "partial 16S ribosomal RNA". It matches the Rfam family "Bacterial small subunit ribosomal RNA", at positions 1 to 269 of the family's 1533-position model. The record is from RNAcentral. Lineage: Bacteria; Pseudomonadati; Pseudomonadota; Gammaproteobacteria; Enterobacterales; Enterobacteriaceae.